This 461-nucleotide ribosomal RNA is filed under the name uncultured Candidatus Cenarchaeales thaumarchaeote. RNAcentral's name for it is "bacterial SSU rRNA". It matches the Rfam family "Archaeal small subunit ribosomal RNA", at positions 73 to 535 of the family's 1478-position model. Lineage: Archaea; Thermoproteati; Nitrososphaerota; Candidatus Cenarchaeales. The record is from RNAcentral.
AAUACAAGGCAGACGGCUCAGUAACACGUAGCCAACCUACCCUAUGGACGGGGAUAACCUCGGGAAACUGAGGAUAAACCCCGAUAGAUCAUUAUGCCUGGAACGGUUUAUGGUCGAAACGAUUCGUCGCCGUAGGAUGGGACUGCGGCCUAUCAGCUUGUUGGUGAGGUAAUGGCCCACCAAGGCUAUUACAGGUACGGGCUCUGAGAGGAGAAGCCCGGAGAUGGGUACUGAGACACGGACCCAGGCCCUAUGGGGCGCAGCAGGCGAGAAAACUUUGCAAUGUGCGCAAGCACGACAAGGUUAAUCCGAGUGUUUCCUGCUAAAGGAAUCUUUUGUUAGUCGUAAAACCACUAAUGAAUAAGGGGUGGGCAAGUUCUGGUGUCAGCCGCCGCGGUAAUACCAGCACCUCAAGUGGUCAGGAGGAUUAUUGGGCCUAAAGCAUCCGUACCUGCUCUGUA